GAUCCAGACUUUGAUCCUGGCUCAGGAUGAACGCUAGCUACAGGCUUAACACAUGCAAGUCGAGGGGAAACGACAUCGAAAGCUUGCUUUUGAUGGGCGUCGACCGGCGCACGGGUGAGUAACGCGUAUCCAACCUGCCCACCACUUGGGGAUAACCUUGCGAAAGUAAGACUAAUACCCAAUGAUAUCUCUAGAAGACAUCUGAAAGGGAUUAAAGAUUUAUCGGUGAUGGAUGGGGAUGCGUCUGAUUAGCUUGUUGGCGGGGUAACGGCCCACCAAGGCGACGAUCAGUAGGGGUUCUGAGAGGAAGGUCCCCCACAUUGGAACUGAGACACGGUCCAAACUCCUACGGGAGGCAGCAGUGAGGAAUAUUGGUCAAUGGACGAGAGUCUGAACCAGCCAAGUAGCGUGCAGGAAGACGGCCCUAUGGGUUGUAAACUGCUUUUAUAAGGGAAUAAAGUGAGUCUCGUGAGACUUUUUGCAUGUACCUUAUG
Molecule: ribosomal RNA, 494 nt
Filed under: uncultured Bacteroidota bacterium
Lineage: Bacteria; Pseudomonadati; Bacteroidota
Description: bacterial SSU rRNA
Rfam family: Bacterial small subunit ribosomal RNA
Source: RNAcentral